Molecule: ribosomal RNA, 460 nt
Filed under: uncultured bacterium
Lineage: Bacteria
Description: partial 16S ribosomal RNA
Rfam family: Bacterial small subunit ribosomal RNA
Source: RNAcentral
CCUACGGGUGGCAGCAGUGAGGAAUAUUGGUCAAUGGGCGCGAGCCUGAACCAGCCAAGUAGCGUGAAGGAUGACUGCCCUACGGGUUGUAAACUUCUUUUAUAAAGGAAUAAAGUGCGGCACGUGUGCCCUUUUGUAUGUACCUUAUGAAUAAGGAUCGGCUAACUCCGUGCCAGCAGCCGCGGUAAUACGGAGGAUCCGAGCGUUAUCCGGAAUUAUUGGGGUUAAAGGGAGCGUAGAUGGGAUGUUAAGUCAGUUGGGAAAGGUUGCGGCUCAACCGUAACAGUGCAAUUGAUACUGGCAGGCUGGAGUAGAGUAGAGGUAGGCGGAAUUCGUGGUGUAGCGGUGAAAUGCUUAGAUAUCACGAAGAACACCGAUUGCGAAGGCAGCAUACUAAACUGCAACUGACAUUGAGGCACGAAAGUGUGGGUAUCAAACAGGAUUAGAUACCCCGGUAGUC